UGGGGAAUAUUGCACAAUGGGCGCAAGCCUGAUGCAGCAACGCCGCGUGAACGAUGAAGGUCUUCGGAUCGUAAAGUUCUGUUGCAGGGGAAGAUAAUGACGGUACCCUGUGAGGAAGCCCCGGCUAACUACGUGCCAGCAGCCGCGGGAAUACGUAGGGGGCUAGCGUUAUCCGGAUUUACUGGGCGUAAAGGGUGCGUAGGUGGUCUUUCAAGUCGGUGGUUAAAGGCUACGGCUCAACCGUAGUUAGCCUCCGAAACUGGAAGACUUGAGUGCAGGAGAGGAAAGUGGAAUUCCCAGUGUAGCGGUGAAAUGCGUAGAUAUUGGGAGGAACACCAGUAGCGAAGGCGGCUUUCUGGACUGCAACUGACACUGAGGCACGAAAGCGUGGGUAGCAAACAGG
This 403-nucleotide ribosomal RNA is filed under the name Verrucomicrobiota bacterium. RNAcentral's name for it is "Verrucomicrobia bacterium partial 16S ribosomal RNA". It matches the Rfam family "Bacterial small subunit ribosomal RNA", at positions 355 to 776 of the family's 1533-position model. The record is from RNAcentral. Lineage: Bacteria; Pseudomonadati; Verrucomicrobiota.